GGCGUGCUUAACACAUGCAAGUCGAACGGAAAGGCCCUGCUUUUGUGGGGUGCUCGAGUGGCGAACGGGUGAGUAACACGUGAGUAACCUGCCCUUGACUUUGGGAUAACUUCAGGAAACUGGGGCUAAUACCGGAUAGGAGCUCCUGCUGCAUGGUGGGGGUUGGAAAGUUUCGGCGGUUGGGGAUGGACUCGCGGCUUAUCAGCUUGUUGGUGGGGUAGUGGCUUACCAAGGCUUUGACGGGUAGCCGGCCUGAGAGGGUGACCGGCCACAUUGGGACUGAGAUACGGCCCAGACUCCUACGGGAGGCAGCAGUGGGGAAUAUUGCACAAUGGGCGGAAGCCUGAUGCAGCAACGCCGCGUGCGGGAUGACGGCCUUCGGGUUGUAAACCGCUUUCGCCUGUGACGAAGCGUGAGUGACGGUAAUGGGUAAAGAAGCACCGGCUAACUACGUGCCAGCAGCCGCGGUGAUACGUAGGGUGCGAGCGUUGUCCGGAUUUAUUGGGCGUAAAGGGCUCGUAGGUGGUUGAUCGCGUCGGAAGUGUAAUCUUGGGGCUUAACCCUGAGCGUGCUUUCGAUACGGGUUGACUUGAGGAAGGUAGGGGAGAAUGGAAUUCCUGGUGGAGCGGUGGAAUGCGCAGAUAUCAGGAGGAACACCAGUGGCGAAGGCGGUUCUCUGGGCCUUUCCUGACGCUGAGGAGCGAAAGCGUGGGGAGCGAACAGGCUUAGAUACCCUGGUAGUCCACGCUGUAAACGGUGGGUACUAGGUGUGGGGUCCAUUCCACGGGUUCCGUGCCGUAGCUAACGCUUUAAGUACCCCGCCUGGGGAGUACGGCCGCAAGGCUAAAACUCAAAGGAAUUGACGGGGCCCCGCACAAGCGGCGGAGCAUGCGGAUUAAUUCGAUGCAACGCGUAGAACCUUACCUGGGUUUGACAUGGAUCGGGAGUGCUCAGAGAUGGGUGUGCCUCUUUUGGGGUCGGUUCACAGGUGGUGCAUGGCUGUCGUCAGCUCGUGUCGUGAGAUGUUGGGUUAAGUCCCGCAACGAGCGCAACCCUUGUUCACUGUUGCCAGCACGUUAUGGUGGGGACUCAGUGGAGACCGCCGGGGUCAACUCGGAGGAAGGUGGGGAUGACGUCAAGUCAUCAUGCCCCUUAUGUCCAGGGCUUCACGCAUGCUACAAUGGCUGGUACAGAGAGUGGCGAGCCUGUGAGGGUGAGCGAAUCUCGGAAAGCCGGUCUCAGUUCGGAUUGGGGUCUGCAACUCGACCUCAUGAAGUCGGAGUCGCUAGUAAUCGCAGAUCAGCAACGCUGCGGUGAAUACGUUCCCGGGGCUUGUACACACCGCCCGUCAAGUCAUGAAAGUUGGUAACACCCGAAGCCGGUGGCCUAACCGUUGUGGGGGAGCCGUCGAAGGUGGGACUGGUGAUUAGGACUAAGUC
RNAcentral lists this ribosomal RNA (1439 nucleotides) under uncultured organism. RNAcentral describes it as "16S ribosomal RNA". It matches the Rfam family "Bacterial small subunit ribosomal RNA". The record is from RNAcentral.